GAUGAACGCUGGCGGCGUGCCUAAUACAUGCAAGUCGAACGCUGAAGGAAGGAGCUUGCUCUUUCCGGAUGAGUUGCGAACGGGUGAGUAACGCGUAGGUAACCUGCCUGGUAGCGGGGGAUAACUAUUGGAAACGAUAGCUAAUACCGCAUAACAGUAGAUGUUGCAUGAUAUCUACUUAAAAGGUGCAAUUGCACCACUACCAGAUGGACCUGCGUUGUAUUAGCUAGUUGGUGAGGUAACGGCUCACCAAGGCGACGAUACAUAGCCGACCUGAGAGGGUGAUCGGCCACACUGGGACUGAGACACGGCCCAGACUCCUACGGGAGGCAGCAGUAGGGAAUCUUCGGCAAUGGACGGAAGUCUGACCGAGCAACGCCGCGUGAGUGAAGAAGGUUUUCGGAUCGUAAAGCUCUGUUGUAAGAGAAGAACGAGUGUGAGAGUGGAAAGUUCACACUGUGACGGUACCUUACCAGAAAGGGACGGCUAACUACGUG
This 497-nucleotide ribosomal RNA is filed under the name uncultured bacterium. Its description in RNAcentral is "partial 16S ribosomal RNA". It matches the Rfam family "Bacterial small subunit ribosomal RNA", at positions 28 to 507 of the family's 1533-position model. The record is from RNAcentral.